This 1160-nucleotide ribosomal RNA is filed under the name Escherichia coli. RNAcentral describes it as "partial 23S ribosomal RNA". It matches the Rfam family "Bacterial large subunit ribosomal RNA", at positions 1 to 1191 of the family's 2925-position model. Lineage: Bacteria; Pseudomonadati; Pseudomonadota; Gammaproteobacteria; Enterobacterales; Enterobacteriaceae. The record is from RNAcentral.
GGGUUGUGAGGUUAAGCGACUAAGCGUACACGGUGGAUGCCCUGGCAGUCAGAGGCGAUGAAGGACGUGCUAAUCUGCGAUAAGCGUCGGUAAGGUGAUAUGAACCGUUAUAACCGGCGAUUUCCGAAUGGGGAAACCCAGUGUGAUUCGUCACACUAUCAUUAACUGAAUCCAUAGGUUAAUGAGGCGAACCGGGGGAACUGAAACAUCUAAGUACCCCGAGGAAAAGAAAUCAACCGAGAUUCCCCCAGUAGCGGCGAGCGAACGGGGAGCAGCCCAGAGCCUGAAUCAGUGUGUGUGUUAGUGGAAGCGUCUGGAAAGGCGCGCGAUACAGGGUGACAGCCCCGUACACAAAAAUGCACAUGCUGUGAGCUCGAUGAGUAGGGCGGGACACGUGGUAUCCUGUCUGAAUAUGGGGGGACCAUCCUCCAAGGCUAAAUACUCCUGACUGACCGAUAGUGAACCAGUACCGUGAGGGAAAGGCGAAAAGAACCCCGGCGAGGGGAGUGAAAAAGAACCUGAAACCGUGUACGUACAAGCAGUGGGAGCACAGAGCAAUCUGUGUGACUGCGUACCUUUUGUAUAAUGGGUCAGCGACUUAUAUUCUGUAGCAAGGUUAACCGAAUAGGGGAGCCGAAGGGAAACCGAGUCUUAACUGGGCGUUAAGUUGCAGGGUAUAGACCCGAAACCCGGUGAUCUAGCCAUGGGCAGGUUGAAGGUUGGGUAACACUAACUGGAGGACCGAACCGACUAAUGUUGAAAAAUUAGCGGAUGACUUGUGGCUGGGGGUGAAAGGCCAAUCAAACCGGGAGAUAGCUGGUUCUCCCCGAAAGCUAUUUAGGUAGCGCCUCGUGAAUUCAUCUCCGGGGGUAGAGCACUGUUUCGGCAAGGGGGUCAUCCCGACUUACCAACCCGAUGCAAACUGCGAAUACCGGAGAAUGUUAUCACGGGAGACACACGGCGGGUGCUAACGUCCGUCGUGAAGAGGGAAACAACCCAGACCGCCAGCUAAGGUCCCAAAGUCAUGGUUAAGUGGGAAACGAUGUGGGAAGGCCCAGACAGCCAGGAUGUUGGCUUAGAAGCAGCCAUCAUUUAAAGAAAGCGUAAUAGCUCACUGGUCGAGUCGGCCUGCGCGGAAGAUGUAACGGGGCUAAACCAUG